GGGUUGUGAGGUUAAGCGACUAAGCGUACACGGUGGAUGCCCUGGCAGUCAGAGGCGAUGAAGGACGUGCUAAUCUGCGAUAAGCGUCGGUGAGGUGAUAUGAACCGUUAUAACCGGCGAUUUCCGAAUGGGGAAACCCAGUGUGAUUCGUCACACUAUCAUUAACUGAAUCCAUAGGUUAAUGAGGCGAACCGGGGGAACUGAAACAUCUAAGUACCCCGAGGAAAAGAAAUCAACCGAGAUUCCCCCAGUAGCGGCGAGCGAACGGGGAGGA
This 274-nucleotide ribosomal RNA is filed under the name Escherichia coli. Its description in RNAcentral is "partial 23S ribosomal RNA". It matches the Rfam family "Bacterial large subunit ribosomal RNA", at positions 1 to 266 of the family's 2925-position model. Lineage: Bacteria; Pseudomonadati; Pseudomonadota; Gammaproteobacteria; Enterobacterales; Enterobacteriaceae. The record is from RNAcentral.